AACAAUUAACAGCAUUCAAGGAGGGCUCUGCUGGUAACAGAUUCUUCCUAAAUUCCGAGGCUCACCAUGCAAGAAGCUGUCUGGCUGUUUUCCCUCAGCAGUGGUCAGAGGAGGUCAUGAAAAACAGGAACGCAGUCAGGAAGCAUGCCGUGCCCAGGCUACAGGCCCUGCCUCCUGCCUGCCUGCCAUAGCACCCUACAGAUUCAGAGUAAUGCAUCAGGCUCAGACACCCCAGUGAUGAUCAGAAAGAAUGGUUAAAUGGGUGAACUCAUUAUUAUAAUGACUGCUCUUUUCAUACCUGCUUGCUUACAUGUAAGAGAGAAACUCUGGAUUGAUGGGACCAUGUCAAUUAUUUUAUUUCUUCUAGCAGAACCAG
RNAcentral lists this long non-coding RNA (376 nucleotides) under Mus pahari (shrew mouse). RNAcentral describes it as "predicted gene 15948 (MGP_PahariEiJ_G0002465.1)". The record is from RNAcentral. Lineage: Eukaryota; Metazoa; Chordata; Mammalia; Rodentia; Muridae.